Molecule: ribosomal RNA, 253 nt
Filed under: uncultured bacterium
Lineage: Bacteria
Also listed under: 2 other names
Description: partial 16S ribosomal RNA
Rfam family: Archaeal small subunit ribosomal RNA
Source: RNAcentral
UACCAGCACCCCGAGUGGUCGGGACGAUUAUUGGGCCUAAAGCAUCCGUAGCCGGUUCCUUAAGUCCUCCGUUAAAUCCACCUGCUUAACAGAUGGGCUGCGGAGGAUACUAUAGAGCUAGGAGGCGGGAGAGGCAAGCGGUACUCAGUGGGUAGGGGUAAAAUCCGUUGAUCCAUUGAAGACCACCAGUGGCGAAGGCGGCUUGCCAGAACGCGCUCGACGGUGAGGGAUGAAAGCUGGGGGAGCAAACCGG